RNAcentral lists this ribosomal RNA (981 nucleotides) under Exserohilum rostratum. RNAcentral describes it as "SSU rRNA". It matches the Rfam family "Eukaryotic small subunit ribosomal RNA", at positions 76 to 1066 of the family's 1831-position model. The record is from RNAcentral. Lineage: Eukaryota; Fungi; Ascomycota; Dothideomycetes; Pleosporales; Pleosporaceae.
UACCCGUGAAACUGCGAAUGGCUCAUUAAAUCAGUUAUCGUUUAUUUGAUAAUACCUUACUACUUGGAUAACCGUGGUAAUUCUAGAGCUAAUACAUGCUAAAAAUCCCGACUUCGGAAGGGAUGUGUUUAUUAGAUAAAAAACCAAUGCCCUUCGGGGCUUCUUGGUGAUUCAUGAUAACUUUACGGAUCGCAUAGCCUUGCGCUGGCGACGGUUCAUUCAAAUUUCUGCCCUAUCAACUUUCGAUGGUAAGGUAUUGGCUUACCAUGGUUUCAACGGGUAACGGGGAAUUAGGGUUCGAUUCCGGAGAGGGAGCCUGAGAAACGGCUACCACAUCCAAGGAAGGCAGCAGGCGCGCAAAUUACCCAAUCCCGACACGGGGAGGUAGUGACAAUAAAUACUGAUACAGGGCUCUUUUGGGUCUUGUAAUUGGAAUGAGUACAAUUUAAACCUCUUAACGAGGAACAAUUGGAGGGCAAGUCUGGUGCCAGCAGCCGCGGUAAUUCCAGCUCCAAUAGCGUAUAUUAAAGUUGUUGCAGUUAAAAAGCUCGUAGUUGAAACUUGGGCCUGGCUGGCGGGUCCGCCUCACCGCGUGCACUCGUCCGGCCGGGCCUUCCUUCUGAAGAACCUCAUGCCCUUCACUGGGCGUGUUGGGGAAUCAGGACUUUUACUUUGAAAAAAUUAGAGUGUUCAAAGCAGGCCUUUGCUCGAAUACGUUAGCAUGGAAUAAUAAAAUAGGGCGUGCGUUUCUAUUUUGUUGGUUUCUAGAGACGCCGCAAUGAUUAACAGGAACAGUCGGGGGCAUCAGUAUUCAGUUGUCAGAGGUGAAAUUCUUGGAUUUACUGAAGACUAACUACUGCGAAAGCAUUUGCCAAGGAUGUUUUCAUUAAUCAGUGAACGAAAGUCAGGGGAUCGAAGACGAUCAGAUACCGUCGUAGUCUUGACCGUAAACUAUGCCGACUAGGGAUCGGGCGAUGUUCU